This is a long non-coding RNA of Rhineura floridana, 618 nucleotides long. RefSeq lists it as uncharacterized. Lineage: Eukaryota; Metazoa; Chordata; Lepidosauria; Squamata; Rhineuridae. The transcript is spliced from 5 exons. The record is from RefSeq and is a predicted model, not a curated record.
AAUGCCAUUUGCUGGGAAUCAGAAGUGUGAAGAUUACUGACUGGGAGGUCAGUUGCACAACUGCUGAUCUUGGGGACCAGGUUUCUUGAAGGACUCCCUGUUCCUGUCCCCUCCUGCCUCUUCCUUGGGAUCUAGCCAGUAAAAGUGAUUAGACUGCCAUUCACAACCUGGUAGCAGCACCAAUAGUGCUGCUUAGUGGACCUACAAACAGCAAGAAAGGGUAUUGCUGAUCACCGCAGAGGUUCCUGGGUCAUCCUGUGCUAUCUCCCAUUUCCCAACAAAAGGAGAGGCAGCAACAUGUGUGGUUGGUGAAUUUUGGUUGCUGGAGACAUGGGGACUCUGCUGAGAGCCUGCUCCCAAAAAAGAACCCAGAUUCAAAUCCCUGCUCAGGAGUGAAAUUCAGGUGGUGUCCUGGGCCCAGUGACAGUGUCGUGGUGAAGACAAAAGGAGGGGGACAAAUCAUGGCCCUUGAGAGCUGCUCCCUACGAAACGUGCAUCGUGGUGAAAGCUGUGGGAGUCCCAGAGCUGGCCUAGUUUACUCCUCCCUCUCAGGCAGCGCCAUGGCCUCAGAGGCACCAUCCGGAUUGUCUCUUCUGUGGGAUAGAGUGGAAAGAGCAG